CCUACGGGUGGCAGCAGUGGGGAAUAUUGCACAAUGGGGGAAACCCUGAUGCAGCGACGCCGCGUGAGUGAAGAAGGAUUUCGUUUUGUAAAGCUCUUUCAGCAGGGAAGAAAAUGACGGUACCUGAGUAAGAAGCCCCGGCUAACUACGUGCCAGCAGCCGCGGUAAUACGUAGGGCGCAAGCGUUACUCGGAUUUACUGGGGGUAAAGGGGGCGUAGGCGGUGGGCCAAGUCUGGAGGGAAAUGCCGCAGCUUAACUGCGGAACUGCAUUGGAAACUGGCGAACUAGAGUGAGGGAGAGGUAAGCGGAAUUCCUAGUGUAGCGGUGAAAUGCGUAGAUAUUAGGAGGAACAC
Molecule: ribosomal RNA, 354 nt
Filed under: uncultured bacterium
Lineage: Bacteria
Description: partial 16S ribosomal RNA
Rfam family: Bacterial small subunit ribosomal RNA
Source: RNAcentral